RNAcentral lists this ribosomal RNA (404 nucleotides) under Actinomycetes bacterium. RNAcentral describes it as "Actinobacteria bacterium partial 16S ribosomal RNA". It matches the Rfam family "Bacterial small subunit ribosomal RNA", at positions 355 to 776 of the family's 1533-position model. Lineage: Bacteria; Bacillati; Actinomycetota; Actinomycetes. The record is from RNAcentral.
UGGGGAAUAUUGGACAAUGGGCGCAAGCCUGAUCCAGCCAUGCCGCGUGAGUGACGAAGGCCCUAGGGUUGUAAAGCUCUUUCACCGGUGAAGAUAAUGACGGUAACCGGAGAAGAAGCCCCGGCUAACUUCGUGCCAGCAGCCGCGGUAAUACGAAGGGGGCUAGCGUUGUUCGGAUUUACUGGGCGUAAAGCGCACGUAGGCGGACUUUUAAGUCAGGGGUGAAAUCCCGGGGCUCAACCCCGGAACUGCCUUUGAUACUGGAAGUCUUGAGUAUGGUAGAGGUGAGUGGAAUUCCGAGUGUAGAGGUGAAAUUCGUAGAUAUUCGGGGGAACACCAGUGGCGAAGGCGGCUCACUGGACCAUUACUGACGCUGAGGUGCGAAAGCGUGGGGAGCAAACAGG